GGAGAGAUGGCUCAGUGGUUAAGAGCACUGCCUGCUCUACCAGAGGUCCUGAGUUCAAUUCCCAGCAACCACA
RNAcentral lists this transfer RNA (73 nucleotides) under Mus musculus (house mouse). RNAcentral's name for it is "tRNA-Ser". The record is from RNAcentral. Lineage: Eukaryota; Metazoa; Chordata; Mammalia; Rodentia; Muridae.